UACAAGUUUCCAACAGCAACGGAAAGAGCGAAGAAGAAAUAUUCCACCCACAAUGCAUUUCGCUCUUCCAGCAUCAUUCCUCUGCUAAGAUGGCGGACCGGCGGCGAAGAAGGAGACAAGCGUCCCAGGACAGCGAGGACGACGAUGAGUCCGGUUCGGCUUCUGACAGCCAGGAGUCUGCGUCCCAGACUACCAAGAACCGUGGGAGAGAGGCCGAACCGCCGGAGACCGUUUUGAACCGUAUCGAAGCGAAGAACGAAGUGGCGUCCGAGUGUGAGAGUGAAGACGGAGUAGGAGAAGCUGUCCUCUCAGACUACGACAGCGCAGACCCAGAAGAAGUGGCCUCCCACUCAGAGGGGGCGGAGGAGGAGGAGGAUGCAGAUCGGUACAGUGAUGAAGACUGUCCGGCAGCAGCCAGCGAGUCCAAAGUUCCUGCUGCCACCAAAGCAGCAGUAGGUGAGGAAGAGCUGAGUAAAGAAGAGAACACGGCGGAUGAAAAGGGAAACUCUGCAGGAGAGCGACAAAGCGGUGAUGGUCAGGAGUCCACCGUUGACCCUGAGACCAAAGCGGGAGGAAAAUCAGGACAGCAGCUUGAUGAUGAUGAAGACCGAAAAAACCCAGCAUACAUCCCUCGAAAGGGUCUGUUCUUUGAGCAUGACGUCAGAGGCCACGCCCAGGAGGAGGAGAGGCCCAAAGGCAGAAACAGGAAGCUGUGGAAGGACGAAGGGCGCUGGGAGCAUGAUAAGUUCAGGGAGGAGGAGCAAGCGCCUAAAAGUCGUGAGGAGCUCAUCGCCAUCUACGGUUACGAUAUCCGCAACGGAUGCGGCGCCGGAGAGCGUGCAUUCAGACAGAGGCGACCUCGGUCCUCUGUGUCGCCCAGCAGAGACAAACGGUGGCGGGAGGGGGGAGAGCGAGCUGUCCGCUCCUGGCAGAGCAGCCGAGGAGGAGGUCCUUCCCGAGGAGCUCCUACCUCGACCUCUUCACUCCCACUUUCAUCUGGCCAGCGUAGCAGCAAUGUGUCCCGCACCACACACCCUCAUCAGAGUCCAACACGGCGCCUGUCGCAUCCCCAGUGUGGGGGUAGUGAAUCAAAUGCACCUCAGAAUCACCCCAGAGAACGACCCUGCCCUAAACCCCCAUCAGAGCUUGCAGCAGAGAAGGGUACGCCCUGCAAGGGAGGCCGUGGCGGAGGAAGGGGCGCUGCCUCCGUAGUUGUGGGAGACGUCCCGGUCAGCAAAGGUGGUGUUGAAGACAACCCCACCUUAAGCACUGUAACAUUUUCAUCAUCGCAGUCCAGCGGGUACAUAACCACAUUGCCAAGUCGACAGUCUCUGGAACAACGAGAGGGUGAUGACAGUUCUGCAUUUGGAUCAUCUUCCGCCGACAAUUCCCAAACAUCAGCGGGCCCUCGAGAAGCAUCGCCUCCCACCGAACGUCCGGUAGAGCGAAAGUCGUAUUCCCUAGCCCGCAGGACUCGCUCUCGGCCGGCUGAGCUGGGCAGCAAACAGCCUUCCAUGGAGGAGGCGGCAGCAACCGGGGGUGGCGGGGUGAUAGGAAAGACCCAACUGGGGGCGGGAGGCAUGGCAGAACUGGACCAGGAUGUGGCUCGACUCAGUCUGGUGUCCGGCCACAACUGGAACCACACCCCGACGUCAUACGUUCGCUCUGAGAUGAGAGGCCUGACCAGCAGCAUGCAUGUCCAUGGGGGGCCUCAUCAGUUCUCCAGUUUGGAUGAGCUCGCUGUUAGUUCCAACCGCGCCAAACGCUAUUCCUCCCAGCGGCAAAGAGGCGUGGCUGAGCCGGCGGCCAUGCAUAUGGGCGUGAUGGAGGGACACUACUAUGAACCUAUGUCAUAUCAAGGACCAAUUUAUACUCAUGGCGAUGGCGCCACACCCAUCCCACCCCAAGGCAUGCUGGUCCAGCCAGAGAUGCACAUCCCCCACCCUGGUCUCCAUGCCCACCAAUCAGGAGGCCCUAUCACCAACCCCACCCUCUACGGAGGACCAGCAGUAUCUCUGUCGCCGGGGCAGCCACAGCAACUGCUGCCACCACCUUUCUACCCUCCACCGGGGGUCAUGACUUUCCCUUACCCUGCCAUGUACCCUAACCCUCAGGGUCAAUCUCAGGUGACCUACGGAGGCGUGACAUAUUAUGACACAGUGCAGCAGCAGGCUCAGCCUAAGCCUUCUCCCCCCCGCCGUACGUCCCAACCCGUUACCGUCAAGCCCCCCCCUCCAGAAGUGCCAUUUGCCUCAGAGUGACCCUGCUUGUCCUUCCUCCCCGACUCGGCAACACCGGGGCAGAGGACCACAGUCAGGAGACGGCGUGGAGACGAUGCCGAACCACAGUCAAACAUGGAGGAGCAAGUCACGUAACCCUCGGCAUCGCUGCUGGAAUCAGACUCUGUCUUGUCACCAUGUUGCAGUUUGUCAGCCAUGUUGGCAUUGACCAAGACCUUCAGUCACACGUGAAUGUUUGCAAAAUCAAACCGUUCCAAGACUUGUCGUGUUCCUGUGUUCAGGCAUCACCUGUGAAGUCACAUGACGCCAAAAGGCCAGAAACGCACUUGAUUUUUUUUCAGCUCCUCCCUCCCGUGAUAUUCAGAACAAAAAUAAAGAUGGACUCUAUAGUUAGAUUUUGACGUCUGCCAUGGAAUCCCAGUUGAAGACAUACAGCAUGAUGGGGAAACGUAGUUGCAUAAGAUUUAUUAACGAGAGAAUUAACCAUGUGCAUAGAAAGCUAAUAUGCAAUCUUCUACAGCGACCUGGAAAGAUUUCCUUUAGACAAUUGUCUUGAUUUUCUUUUCUAUUUACCAUUUCCAAAUGUCCUGGCUUUUUUUUUCUGUGAUGAUCCCAAUAAAAUACCCUUUUGACCUUUA
Non-coding RNA from Doryrhamphus excisus (bluestripe pipefish), 2878 nucleotides. The record is from RefSeq and is a predicted model, not a curated record. Lineage: Eukaryota; Metazoa; Chordata; Actinopteri; Syngnathiformes; Syngnathidae.